ACACGUUUGAGAGAUGGAGACUGCUGAAAAACUGCUGAAGAAUGACGUCUUCACUGCAUGGAGAAGUCCAGAGGUGCCUUGCACGGACAUCAUCUAUACAGAGAAUAAUUUUAAAAUGUUCUCAAUGUGAAGAUGCCGAGGAGGAAAAGCCUAGGAGCAGAGUGGAACCCAUUGUCUGGCAGAGGAAGAGGGAUUGUAUCCAGGUUGUUGUUCCAACAGGCUUUGAGAGGUGAGAGAUGUUCUUGUCUUCUGACGACCUCAGCAGUCUACUUCAGCAGCACACAGCAAGUCACAAAGCAGGUCCGCUUCAUGAGAAGGGAGAAAUGAAAGGAAGAAUAAACGUGGGGUAGGAGCAACAAAAUAAAAGAAUAUUUAAAUGAUUUCAAAUGGAUUGUAAAGUGUUGAAUCAUAAAGGAUUGGCAAAAAAGCCCUCUCCUCAUGAGGUCUAGCUAAUAUUAGGAAUUAUUGCCUCAAACGCUGCAGGUGUGGAUCCAUUUCUUUCACUGCUAGCAAAUGGGGUUGCAACUGCCUUUGACAAUGUAAAAGCUGCACAAUCCCUGUGCCCCAGGGCAGACAAUGAUGUUGGUGAGAUGCUGAUUUUAGGAUAGAAAAUUACAAUGGUUAUAUAGUAAACAGCACCUGGAAGUUUACUAAUGAUUUUUUCAAUUAACAGCAGCACUAUGGUCUGAUUAUUCAUGCAUGCUUUCUAUGAAAGGAAAGAAAAGAGGCAGAUGUUGAAAAGAAUUAGCGGUUGAGAGAUAUUUUUAAUUUUUUUUGUAACUGGAGGUAGAGCCUUCUUCCUGUUAUCACUACUUCUGAUAAUGAGAUGCCAAAACUAGUGAAUUAAAAGUUUUUACAAAAUUUAAAAUGUUUGGACUGUUCUACUCUCCCAUUAACUCCAAAUACUCACAUGAAAUGUGCAUGAAAAUGGAGAAGUAUAUAUGUAUAUAUAUAUAUGUGUGUACAAAUCUUUACACUCUCUGCCUGUAGCUUGAUAUGUAGUUUUGGCAUCCAAGCAAGAAAAAAUAAAAAAAUCCCACCAAGAACUGCAUGGCCAUGCAGAUCUUCAGCUACUGGAUCAUCUAUGAUAAUAAUGGCUGGAUCUCUUCCCUUAGAAGUCCACCAGGUGUGCACCUGCCAGAUUGUAGAAAUCUCUUUCCUGCAGCUGAGACAUGGGAAUUUCUUUGGACAUCAAAGCAAAGGUUUAUUGAAAUCUUACCCUUGCACAUCAUUUUAUCUUCUACUGAAAGAGGUGACAAACAACAGGGCCCACUGUGGAGGUCACUGAGGAAAUGAUGCUGAGAAUUCACUGGACAGACAAAGUCUUUGAUGCAGCUGAAGAAAGAUUGGAGCUAAUGAGAUUAAAGAUCAGAUGCACCAGGAUGAGUUUGGCUCAGUCAAGGAUUUCUCAUACCAAAGAUCUGACUACAAAGCAAAAUACUUUCUGGAGAAACAUCACACAGCCCGGAGUUGUCUGAAUCUGCUGUUCUCAUGUGUUUCUUUGCCAUUUCAGAGAAGCACAAAUACUGGAUCCAUGAAACUUCAGAUGUCUUUGUGAUGUCUUAUUCCUCUACCUUUCACUAACAGGUCAUCAACUUCCCUGGGCCUAUGAGCACUCAAACCUGUGUUUUACGUGACCAAAGGAAAAGUAUGUUCCUCUCUUCUCCACACAGGGACUGUUUUAAGGGAAGGCUCCACCCCCAAGAUGGUGCAGCCUAUUCACUACUGAUGUCCCAGCACUUGGAAAACCACCAAAGACAUCUGCGAGAGAAGGAGGAAAUUAUCCACUCAAAAAAUGCAGUUGCAUUAGUGAUAGGACAGGGCAUCAGACAAUGUCUUACCACAUUACACAGUAAUUCUAGAGAGAGUUGCACUGCACCCUGAGUUGAUGCUUUCCCUGGAUAGGCCCAAGUUUUCACUUAUGAAAUUUCCAAUGUCCAAAUGACACAAUGUAAUCUGUAAUAAGCAGGUAACUCUGAUUAAAACAAAGAGAAAUAAAACUUCAGUCGACUGGCAGGGCUAUGUAAUCUUGGUUUUUAAGUAGGGAUUGCACAUACACCCAGUGGUCUUUUUAAUGCUUUUCAGCUGCUGAAGAUUUCAACUGAAAUUUCUGUAAUAACUUGUGUGUUUGUAUGUGUUCAGUAUAUGUAUGCACAGGAUGGGGGUUUAAGAGAACAAAUUCUUAUAAAGCAAGA
Molecule: long non-coding RNA, 2195 nt
Filed under: Catharus ustulatus (Swainson's thrush)
Lineage: Eukaryota; Metazoa; Chordata; Aves; Passeriformes; Turdidae
Description: lncRNA (ENSCUSG00005000333.1)
Source: RNAcentral